This 75-nucleotide transfer RNA is filed under the name Gammaproteobacteria bacterium. RNAcentral's name for it is "tRNA-Gly". It matches the Rfam family "tRNA". From Rfam's summary of the family: Transfer RNA (tRNA) molecules are approximately 80 nucleotides in length. RNAcentral also lists the same sequence under 1 other name. The record is from RNAcentral. Lineage: Bacteria; Pseudomonadati; Pseudomonadota; Gammaproteobacteria.
GCGGGUGUCGUAUAAUGGCUAUUACCUCAGCCUUCCAAGCUGAUGACGCGGGUUCGACUCCCGCCACCCGCUCCA